RNAcentral lists this ribosomal RNA (200 nucleotides) under uncultured bacterium. RNAcentral describes it as "partial 16S ribosomal RNA". It matches the Rfam family "Bacterial small subunit ribosomal RNA", at positions 29 to 227 of the family's 1533-position model. The record is from RNAcentral.
AACGAACGCUGGCGGCAUGCCUAAUACAUGCAAGUCGAACGAGAUUAAGGGGCUUGCUCCUUAUGAAAGUGGCGCACGGGUGCGUAACGCGUAUGCAACCUACCUCAAUCAGGGGGAUAGCCCGAAGAAAUUCGGAUUAACACCGCAUAAAAACACAGUACAGCAUUGUACAACGUUCAAAUAUUUAUAGGAUUGAGAUG